This 468-nucleotide ribosomal RNA is filed under the name uncultured bacterium. RNAcentral describes it as "partial 16S ribosomal RNA". It matches the Rfam family "Bacterial small subunit ribosomal RNA", at positions 28 to 507 of the family's 1533-position model. The record is from RNAcentral.
GACGAACGCUGGCGGCGUGCUUAACACAUGCAAGUCGAACGGAAAGACCCUGCUUUUGUGGGGGGCUCGAGUGGCGAACGGGUGAGUAACACGUGAGUAACCUGCCCUUGACUUUGGGAUAACUUCAGGAAACUGGGGCUAAUACCGGAUAGGAGCUCCUGCUGCAUGGUGGGGGUUGGAAAGUUUCGGCGGUUGGGGAUGGACUCGCGGCUUAUCAGCUUGUUGGUGGGGUAGUGGCUUACCAAGGCUUUGACGGGUAGCCGGCCUGAGAGGGUGACCGGCCACAUUGGGACUGAGAUACGGCCCAGACUCCUACGGGAGGCAGCAGUGGGGAAUAUUGCACAAUGGGCGGAAGCCUGAUGCAGCAACGCCGCGUGCGGGAUGACGGCCUUCGGGUUGUAAACCGCUUUCGCCUGUGACGAAGCGUGAGUGACGGUAAUGGGUAAAGAAGCACCGGCUAACUACGUG